RNAcentral lists this ribosomal RNA (506 nucleotides) under Escherichia coli. RNAcentral describes it as "partial 23S ribosomal RNA". It matches the Rfam family "Bacterial large subunit ribosomal RNA", at positions 427 to 934 of the family's 2925-position model. The record is from RNAcentral. Lineage: Bacteria; Pseudomonadati; Pseudomonadota; Gammaproteobacteria; Enterobacterales; Enterobacteriaceae.
UGGUAUCCUGUCUGAAUAUGGGGGGACCAUCCUCCAAGGCUAAAUACUCCUGACUGACCGAUAGUGAACCAGUACCGUGAGGGAAAGGCGAAAAGAACCCCGGCGAGGGGAGUGAAAAAGAACCUGAAACCGUGUACGUACAAGCAGUGGGAGCACGCUUAGGCGUGUGACUGCGUACCUUUUGUAUAAUGGGUCAGCGACUUAUAUUCUGUAGCAAGGUUAACCGAAUAGGGGAGCCGAAGGGAAACCGAGUCUUAACUGGGCGUUAAGUUGCAGGGUAUAGACCCGAAACCCGGUGAUCUAGCCAUGGGCAGGUUGAAGGUUGGGUAACACUAACUGGAGGACCGAACCGACUAAUGUUGAAAAAUUAGCGGAUGACUUGUGGCUGGGGGUGAAAGGCCAAUCAAACCGGGAGAUAGCUGGUUCUCCCCGAAAGCUAUUUAGGUAGCGCCUCGUGAAUUCAUCUCCGGGGGUAGAGCACUGUUUCGGCAAGGGGGUCAUCCCGA